This 220-nucleotide ribosomal RNA is filed under the name uncultured bacterium. Its description in RNAcentral is "partial 16S ribosomal RNA". It matches the Rfam family "Bacterial small subunit ribosomal RNA", at positions 116 to 334 of the family's 1533-position model. The record is from RNAcentral.
UAUCGGAACGUGCCCAGUCGUGGGGGAGUAACGUAGAGAAAUUUACGCUAAUACCGCAUGAGAUCCACGGAUGAAAGCGGGGGACUUCGCAAGGAGCCUCGCGCGACUGGAGCGGCUGAUAUCAGAUUAGGUUGUUGGUGAGGUAAAAGCUCACCAAGCCGACGAUCUGUAGCUGGUUUGAGAGAACGACCAGCCACACUGGGACUGAGACACGGCCCAG